GUCACGUUUAUUAUAGUUGGUCGCCCUGGCAAACAGCCGCUCUCUGAUUGCAGCGCAUGCGCACUAAAUUUUAGCAGGCGA
This is a long non-coding RNA of Diprion similis, 81 nucleotides long. RefSeq lists it as uncharacterized. The record is from RefSeq and is a predicted model, not a curated record. Lineage: Eukaryota; Metazoa; Arthropoda; Insecta; Hymenoptera; Diprionidae. The transcript is spliced from 3 exons.